Molecule: transfer RNA, 76 nt
Filed under: Candidatus Merdicola faecigallinarum
Lineage: Bacteria; Bacillati; Bacillota; Clostridia
Description: tRNA-Thr
Rfam family: tRNA
About the family: Transfer RNA (tRNA) molecules are approximately 80 nucleotides in length. Their secondary structure includes four short double-helical elements and three loops (D, anti-codon, and T loops).
Source: RNAcentral
GCUUUCAUAGCUCAGUAGGUAGAGCACUGCCAUGGUAAGGCAGGGGUCGCCGGUUCGAUUCCGGCUGAAAGCUCCA